RNAcentral lists this ribosomal RNA (253 nucleotides) under uncultured bacterium. Its description in RNAcentral is "partial 16S ribosomal RNA". It matches the Rfam family "Bacterial small subunit ribosomal RNA", at positions 524 to 776 of the family's 1533-position model. The record is from RNAcentral.
UACGGGGGGGGCAAGCGUUGUUCGGAAUUACUGGGCGUAAAGGGCGCGUAGGCGGCCUGCUAAGUCGGAUGUGAAAUCCCUCGGCUCAACCGAGGAACUGCAUCCGAUACUGGCGGGCUUGAAUCCGGGAGAGGGAUGUGGAAUUCCAGGUGUAGCGGUGAAAUGCGUAGAUAUCUGGAGGAACACCGGUGGCGAAGGCGGCAUCCUGGACCGGCAUUGACGCUGAGGCGCGAAAGCCAGGGGAGCAAACGGG